GUGUCAGCAGCCGCGGUAAUACGUAGGUGGCGAGCGUUGUCCGGAAUUAUUGGGCGUAAAGGGUGCGUAGGUGGCUUUUUAAGUGGGGCGUGAAAUCCCCGGGCUUAACCCGGGAGCUGCGCUCCAAACUGGAAAGCUAGAGUGCAGGAGAGGAAAGUGGAAUUCCCAGUGUAGCGGUGAAAUGCGUAGAGAUUGGGAGGAACACCAGUGGCGAAGGCGACUUUCUGGACUGUAACUGACACUGAGGCACGAAAGCGUGGGGAGCAAACAGGAUUAGAUACCCUGGUAGUCCACGCCGUAAACGAUGGGUACUAGGUGUAGGGGCGACAGCCUCUGUGCCGCAGUUAACACAUUAAGUACCCCGCCUGGGAAGUACGAUCGCAAGAUUAAA
Molecule: ribosomal RNA, 391 nt
Filed under: uncultured bacterium
Lineage: Bacteria
Description: bacterial SSU rRNA
Rfam family: Bacterial small subunit ribosomal RNA
Source: RNAcentral